This is a long non-coding RNA of Frieseomelitta varia, 358 nucleotides long. RefSeq lists it as uncharacterized. The record is from RefSeq and is a predicted model, not a curated record. The transcript has 2 exons. NCBI's taxonomy places the organism in Eukaryota, Metazoa, Arthropoda, Insecta, Hymenoptera, Apidae.
GGCACUCUUUAUUGAAAGUAUAAUUAUUAGUUUAGUCAAAUAGUAGUAUUAAAAGUUCAAAUGAUGUAACUAUGUUAAUAGCAAAUGAAAGCUGUGCAUGCUUAUUAAUAGGACCACUAUUCUGUUAUAAGAAUAAGCCAAAAAGCAAGCCAGAAAUAGCAAGUUUUGGCAAUGACACAUAGGCAAAGGGAGACCUUGUCUGAUAGAUGAUAAAAAUAUGUACAAUUUAUAGUUCAUUGUUUUGUUGGCAUUUAUUUAAAGGCAUUUAGAGAAUUAAUUACAGAAAACAUGAAAUAGUAAAAUGAUUUAGUAAUAAGUAUGAUUUAGUAAAUAGUUCUAUAGCUGAUAAUAUCCUAUA